GACGAACGCUGGCGGCGUGCUUAACACAUGCAAGUCGAGCGGUAAGGCCCUUUCGGGGUACGACGAGCGGCGAACGGGUGAGUAACACGUGGGUGACCUGCCCUCAGCUCUGGGAUAAGCCUGGGAAACCGGGUCUAAUACCGGAUAUGACUCCAUGACGCAUGUUGUGGGGUGGAAAGCCUUGUGCGGCUGAGGAUGGGCCCGCGGCCUAUCAGCUUGUUGGUGGGGUGAUGGCCUACCAAGGCGACGACGGGUAGCCGGCCUGAGAGGGCGACCGGCCACACUGGGACUGAGACACGGCCCAGACUCCUACGGGAGGCAGCAGUGGGGAAUCUUGCGCAGUGGGCGAAAGCCUGACGCAGCGACGCCGCGUGAGGGAUGACGGCCU
This 388-nucleotide ribosomal RNA is filed under the name uncultured bacterium. Its description in RNAcentral is "bacterial SSU rRNA". It matches the Rfam family "Bacterial small subunit ribosomal RNA", at positions 28 to 417 of the family's 1533-position model. The record is from RNAcentral.